CCUUGUAUCCCCUUUCACUCUCAGAUGCUCUCUAACCUUUCGUCUCCUUAGAACCUUCUGGUUCUCUCAUGGCCUUCAUCGCCAUACCAACUCACUCCUCUCGAUUUCCAGCAACCAUGGCAUCCCUAUAUCGUGGUGUCCUCUCUCAAGCUUGAAGCCUAGCAGCUUCCGCCAUGGAAGACGGUCACUAAAGCUCUAUUUGGGGUCUGUUUCCGGUGUUUCUCCAAUGAUCGUUGAACGAUGAUGCCUUCUACGUCAUUGUAUACGUGUUUCACAGUCAGGUUCUUCGUUUCCCUAAUCUGUUUGUAAACCUAUUUUUUCUCUUUAAUCCC
RNAcentral lists this long non-coding RNA (332 nucleotides) under Nicotiana benthamiana. RNAcentral's name for it is "long non-coding RNA (NBEN_LNC036243)". Lineage: Eukaryota; Viridiplantae; Streptophyta; Magnoliopsida; Solanales; Solanaceae. The record is from RNAcentral.